RNAcentral lists this ribosomal RNA (812 nucleotides) under uncultured Sphingobacteriia bacterium. RNAcentral's name for it is "bacterial SSU rRNA". It matches the Rfam family "Bacterial small subunit ribosomal RNA", at positions 57 to 865 of the family's 1533-position model. Lineage: Bacteria; Pseudomonadati; Bacteroidota; Sphingobacteriia. The record is from RNAcentral.
GCAGUCGUGGGGCAGCAGUCCCGCAGCAAUGCGGGAGCUGGCGACCGGCAAACGGGUGCGGAACACGUACACAACCUUCCUUUAAGUGGGGAAUAGCCCGGGGAAACCCGGAUUAAUACCCCGUAAUAUAAUGGAGUGGCAUCACUUUAUUAUUAUAGCUCCGGCGCUUUAAGAUGGGUGUGCGACUGAUUAGGCAGUUGGCGGGGUAACGGCCCACCAAACCUACGAUCAGUAACUGGUGUGAGAGCACGACCAGUCACACGGGCACUGAGACACGGGCCCGACUCCUACGGGAGGCAGCAGUAAGGAAUAUUGGUCAAUGGACGCAAGUCUGAACCAGCCAUGCCGCGUGGAGGAUGAAGGUCCUCUGGAUUGUAAACUUCUUUUAUCUGGGAAGAAACCCACGAAUUCUUUUGUGGUUGACGGUACCAGAUGAAUAAGCACCGGCUAACUCCGUGCCAGCAGCCGCGGUAAUACGGAGGGUGCAAGCGUUAUCCGGAUUCACUGGGUUUAAAGGGUGCGUAGGUGGGUUGGUAAGUCAGUGGUGAAAUCUCCAGGCUUAACUUGGAAACUGCCAUUGAUACUAUCAAUCUUGAAUGCCGUGGAGGUCAGCGGAAUAUGUCAUGUAGCGGUGAAAUGCUUAGAUAUGACAUAGAACACCAAUUGCGAAGGCAGCUGGCUACACGAAUAUUGACACUGAUGCACGAAAGCGUGGGGAUCAAACAGGAUUAGAUACCCUGGUAGUCCACGCCCUAAACGAUGGAUACUCGACAUACGCGAUAUACUGUGUGUGUCUGAGCGAAGCAUUAAGU